AGUGAACGCUGGCGGUAGGCCUAACACAUGCAAGUCGAACGGCAGCACAGUAAGAGCUUGCUCUUACGGGUGGCGAGUGGCGGACGGGUGAGGAAUACAUCGGAAUCUACUUUUUCGUGGGGGAUAACGUAGGGAAACUUACGCUAAUACCGCAUACGACCUACGGGUGAAAGCAGGGGAUCUUCGGACCUUGCGCGAUUGAAUGAGCCGAUGUCGGAUUAGCUAGUUGGCGGGGUAAAGGCCCACCAAGGCGACGAUCCGUAGCUGGUCUGAGAGGAUGAUCGGCCACACUGGAACUGGGACACGGACCAGACUCCUACGGGAGGCAGCAGUGGGGAAUAUUGGACAAUGGGCGCAAGCCUGAUCCAGCCAUACCGCGUGGGUGAAGAAGGCCUUCGGGUUGUAAAGACCUUUUGUGGGGAAAGAAAAGCAGCAGGUUAAUACCCCGCUGUUCUGACGGUACCCAAAAAAUAAGCACCGGCUAACUUCGUG
This 492-nucleotide ribosomal RNA is filed under the name uncultured bacterium. RNAcentral describes it as "partial 16S ribosomal RNA". It matches the Rfam family "Bacterial small subunit ribosomal RNA", at positions 29 to 507 of the family's 1533-position model. The record is from RNAcentral.